GUCCUAAGAUGAGCUCAACGAGAACAAAAAUCAUAUGUGGAACAGAAAGGUAAAAGCUAGUUUGAUUUUUCUUUCUAGUACGAAUACAAACUGUGAAAGCAUGGCCUCACGAUCUUUUAGACCUUCAGAAUUUGAAGCUAGAGGUGUCAGAAAAGUUACCACAGGGAUAAUUGGCUUGUGGUAGCAAAGCGUUCAUAGGGACGUUCUUUUUUACCCUUCAAUGUCGGCUCCUCCUAUCAUUGUGAAGUAGAAUUCACCAAGUGUUGGAUUGUUCACCCACCAACAGGGAACGUGAGUUGGGUUUAGACCGUCAUGAGAUAGGUUAGUUUUGCCCUUCUGAUGACAGUGUCACAAUAGUAAUUCAACCUAGUAUGGGUGGAACCAUUGAUUUGCACAAUUGGUCAUCGCGCUUGGUUAAAAAGCCAUUGGCAUAAAGCUACUCUGCGCUGGAUUAUGACUGAACGCCUCUAUGUCAAAAUUCGGGAUAGAAGCGAUGCAUGCACCCGCCACCCACUUGUCGACCCAUAGUGGGGGCCGUCUAGCCCCCAAAGACACGUGUCGUUGGUGAAGCCAGCGCAGCAAAUGAGCCACACGGGCCGCCUUGAAGUACAAUUCUUAUCUCGAGCAGCAAGUAGAAUCCUUUGUAGAUGACUUAAAUACGUGAUAGGGUAUUAUAAAUGGCAAAGUGGCCUUACUGCCACGAUCCACUGAGAU
RNAcentral lists this ribosomal RNA (714 nucleotides) under Camellia sinensis. RNAcentral's name for it is "eukaryotic LSU rRNA". It matches the Rfam family "Eukaryotic large subunit ribosomal RNA", at positions 2660 to 3377 of the family's 3401-position model. Lineage: Eukaryota; Viridiplantae; Streptophyta; Magnoliopsida; Ericales; Theaceae. The record is from RNAcentral.